Molecule: ribosomal RNA, 882 nt
Filed under: uncultured bacterium
Lineage: Bacteria
Description: bacterial SSU rRNA
Rfam family: Bacterial small subunit ribosomal RNA
Source: RNAcentral
GCCCUUAGAGUUUGAUCCUGGCUCAGGAUGAACGCUGGCGGUAUGCUUUACACAUGCAAGUCGUACGAGAGUUUUUAACUCAAGUGGCGGACGGGUGAGUAACACGUAAGAAUUUGCCUUUAGGAGGGGGAUAACAACUGGAAACGGUUGCUAAUACCCCAUAUGCUUUCGAGUAAAAUGGAUUUUCCGCCUAAAGAGAAGCUUGCGGCUGAUUAGCUUGUUGGUGAGGUAAUGGCUCACCAAGGCGACGAUCAGUAUCUGGUUUGAGAGGACGAUCAGACACACUGGAACUGAGACACGGUCCAGACUCCUACGGGAGGCAGCAGUGGGGAAUUUUCCGCAAUGGGCGAAAGCCUGACGGAGCAAUACCGCGUGAGGGAUGACGGCCUAUGGGUUGUAAACCUCUUUUUUCAGGGAGGAAUCAAUGACGUGUACCUGAAGAAUAAGCAUCGGCUAACUCCGUGCCAGCAGCCGCGGUAAGACGGAGGAUGCAAGUGUUAUCCGGAAUCACUGGGCGUAAAGCGUCUGUAAGUGGUCAAAUAAGUCAACUGUUAAAUCUUGAGGCUCAACCUCAAAAUCGCAGUCGAAACUAUUCGACUAGAGUAUAGUAGGGGUAAAGGGAAUUUCCAAUGGAGCGGUGAAAUGCGUAGAGAUUGGAAAGAACACCGAUGGCGAAGGCACUUUACUGGGCUAUUACUAACACUGAGAGACGAAAGCUAGGGUAGCAAAUGGGAUUAGAUACCCCAGUAGUCCUAGCCGUAAACAAUGGAUACUAGAUGUUGAACAGAUCGACCUGUGCAGUAUCAAAGCUAACGCGUUAAGUAUCCCGCCUGGGAAGUAUGCUCGCAAGAGUGAAACUCAAAUGAAUUGACGGGGAAGGGC